GCAGACAAAAAGCUCCCGAGGGCGAAGCAGGGCAAGGACUUGCUUUGUUCACAGCUGAACACCACAUCUUAAUCCGAGUAGGGCACAUGAUCGGCUCAGUAGAUGCUUGCUGAAUGAACUAAGGCACAGUCACAUGCUUUUACUCCCUCAGCAGUGUCACCAAACGGAAGCCGCCUCAGAGGCCAUGGAAAGACCCAAGAGGGGAGCAAGAAAGGGAGGAUUCCUCUGGCUGUGUGUGUGGAACGAACUCGGGACCGUGCUGGGGCCGGAUCCAGGGAGGAGGUGACGGCAGUCGCCCAGGUGGAACAGCCAGGAUCUGCUGGUCGAUGAGAUGGGGGAGGAAGGGAAAGUGAGGUGAAG
Molecule: long non-coding RNA, 360 nt
Organism: Eptesicus fuscus (big brown bat)
Lineage: Eukaryota; Metazoa; Chordata; Mammalia; Chiroptera; Vespertilionidae
Exons: 4
Source: RefSeq, a predicted model, not a curated record